GAAAAGAUAACCGCUGAAAGCAUCUAAGCGGGAAACUUGCCUCAAGAUGAGAUCUCACUGGGAACUUGAUUCCCCUGAAGGGCCGUCGAAGACUACGACGUUGAUAGGCUGGGUGUGUAAGCGUUGUAAGGCGUUGAGCUAACCAGUACUAAUUGCCCGUGAGGCUUGACCAU
RNAcentral lists this ribosomal RNA (173 nucleotides) under Pseudomonas aeruginosa. RNAcentral's name for it is "partial 23S ribosomal RNA". It matches the Rfam family "Bacterial large subunit ribosomal RNA", at positions 2758 to 2925 of the family's 2925-position model. Lineage: Bacteria; Pseudomonadati; Pseudomonadota; Gammaproteobacteria; Pseudomonadales; Pseudomonadaceae. The record is from RNAcentral.